This 253-nucleotide ribosomal RNA is filed under the name uncultured bacterium. RNAcentral describes it as "partial 16S ribosomal RNA". It matches the Rfam family "Bacterial small subunit ribosomal RNA", at positions 524 to 776 of the family's 1533-position model. The record is from RNAcentral.
UACGUAGGGACCGAGCGUUGUCCGGAAUCAUUGGGCGUAAAGAGCGUGUAGGCGGCCUUUUAAGUCCUGCGUGAAAUCCUGCGGCUCAACCGCAGACGGUCGUGGGAAACUGGAAGGCUAGAGUGCGGGAGAGGAGAGUGGAAUUCCCGGUGUAGCGGUGAAAUGCGCAGAUAUCAGGAAGAACACCCGUGGCGAAGGCGGCUCUCUGGAACGCAACUGACGCUGAGACGCGAAAGCGUGGGGAGCAAACAGG